UUUUGUGCUCUGAGUGACUGCGGAGGUCAUUACUGUGAUUUAGUACUACACUGCGUGAGCGGAACGAAAACAACAACACCUAAAAUGUGGAAUAUAGCAUAUAGUCGACAAGAGAAAUCUACGAAAAACAAACAAAACUUUCAACAACGGAUCUCUUGGUUCUCGCAUCGAUGAAGAGCGCAGCGAAAUGCGAUACCUAGUGUGAAUUGCAGCCAUCGUGAAUCAUCGAGUUCUUGAACGCACAUUGCGCCCCUCGGCAUUCCGGGGGGCAUGCCUGUUUGAGCGUCGUUUCCAUCUUGCGCGUGCGCAGAGUUGGGGGAGCGGAGCGGACGACGUGUAAAGAGCGUCGGAGCUGCGACUCGCCUGAAAGGGAGCGAAGCUGGCCGAGCGAACUAGACUUUUUUUCAGGGACGCUUGGCGGCCGAGAGCGAGUGUUGCGAGACAACAAAAAGCUCGACCUCAAAUCAGGUAGGAAUACCCGCUGAACUUAAGCAUAUCAAUAAGCGGAGGAAAAGAAACCAACAGGGAUUGCCUCAGUAGCGGCGAGUGAAGCGGCAAGAGCUCAGAUUUGAAAUCGUGCUUUGCGGCACGAGUUGUAGAUUGCAGGUUGGAGUCUGGUGUGGAAGGCGGUGUCCAAGUCCCUUGGAACAGGGCGCCCAGGAGGGUGAGAGCCCCGUGGGAUGCCGGCGGAAGCAGUGAGGCCCUUCUGACGAGUCGAGUUGUUUGGGAAUGCAGCUCCAAGCGGGUGGUAAAUUCCAUCUAAAGCUAAAUACUGGCGAGAGACCGAUAGCGAACAAGUACUGUGAAGGAAGAUGAAAAGCACUUUGAAAAGAGAGUGAAACAGCACGUGAAAUUGUGGAAAGGGAAGGGUAUUGCGCCGACACAUGGGGAUUGCGCACGCUGCCUCCUCGUGGGGCGGCGCUCUGGGCUUUCCCUGGGCAGCAUCGGUCUGCUGCAGGAGAAAGGGUUCUGGACGUGGCUCUUUCGGAGUGUUAUAGCCAGGCCAGAUGCUGCUGCGGGGGACCAGGACUGCGGCUGUAGGUCACGGAUGCUGGCAACGGCGCACACGCC
Molecule: ribosomal RNA, 1071 nt
Filed under: Pichia kudriavzevii
Lineage: Eukaryota; Fungi; Ascomycota; Pichiomycetes; Pichiales; Pichiaceae
Description: eukaryotic LSU rRNA
Rfam family: Eukaryotic large subunit ribosomal RNA (bases 455-1071)
Source: RNAcentral